Long non-coding RNA from Hyla sarda, 2227 nucleotides. RefSeq lists it as uncharacterized. The transcript is spliced from 3 exons. Lineage: Eukaryota; Metazoa; Chordata; Amphibia; Anura; Hylidae. The record is from RefSeq and is a predicted model, not a curated record.
UCGGGGAAUUGUAAGUAGCAAUCUGCAGAUGAACCCACAGACCCAUGUGUCGUACGUUCGCUCAUUGGAGGUCCAAGAUGAUGAAGAAGAACAAGAAUUAAUGUGUAUCUCGCUGUGCAAUCUUGGGAAACCUCUGGCACUCAAAAUGUAUAAUCAGCAUCUCAGCGUCUCAUUACUCCUACAUUAACAGGUAUUCCAUUUUCUUAGAAAGGGCAGAUCAAAAUGUCAGGCCAGUCUGGAACGAAUCAAUAAUGAACGGAACCCAUCAUGUAAUUGAAUGCUCAUAUACUGCUCCUCCAUGGACGAUGCUUAAAGGCCCGGGCUAUGAUGAGGUGCAUGCGAAUUGAAGGGUCUGAUAAGAGAUUGAUGUUUCACACGUAUGGCGUACUUGAAUGCACUAGACGGGGGAAGAAGAUUCCACUGUGUGAAGGUCCUCUACAAACGGCGACAACAAAGAAAAGAAAAAUAGAUACAGUGUCGAAUUUUGAAAGAGAAAUGGACAAAUUAAUGUUUUGUUGAUGUCAAAGACAAAUCUGCUGGCCUAGUUAGUGACCAUGUGUUACAGGUAAUGAAAAAAGACAAUCUGGUACAUCAAUGAUGUUCAUUAUAUGCUAAAUUCAAUGAAAAGGGAGGCCAAAUGUGUCUGGAUAAAAUUAAUGAUAUGCCACUUUGACUAGGCCUCAUUGUGACGAAGAUGACAUUGUUUAGGGUUGUUGAAGUUGAUCAUUGUGCACGGCCUUUGACCUUGGAAGAUUAAACAUUUCCUACUCCUGUUUUAAAGAAAAGUUCUUGGGUGUAUUCACAUGAAAUAACUUUUCAAAAGCAUUUCGACACAUUUUCCACAUUCAUAUACCCAUAACACAUUAGGGUCAAUACAUUUUGUUUAUGUUUUAGCAGUAUUAAUCACACCCUUUUCAAAGCUCACUUGUGUUGCUUUAAAAAUAUGUGAGAUUUUUUUUAUAGACAUGAAUGGAGGGGGCGUGGCUUUAUGUCACGAACAAGGAAGCCCCAGGCUUGUGUGCUCAUAAACGCUGCAAGGCUCAUUGAUUGCUGAGUCCCCCUGCAAUCUCCAGGCAGGCCCUGUGACAUUUAGAUAGGGGAUUACAUGUCUAGUGGCAGAGUACCCCUUUAAUGCAACAUCAUGCUCAUCUUUCAAAAAUUAAGUGCAUCAUACAAACUGUUGCUCUUUUUGAUGUGAACUCCUUUAAAAAUGUUGUGUGAUUGUUUUGCGCCAAAACUCAUACCGGCAUAGGUAAUGCGUGUAACAUUUUGGUCAAAGUGUCUUUUUUUCCAUCAUAUUUGUAUCCUGCAUGGAAAGGUGACAUUUGCCAAUCCACAUCCAAAACUGUGGCUAAAUCUGUGGUAAAUGAGUGUGAAAUACAAGGGUACAACUACACUAUUGGUACAUGUCCUCAUUAUCUCACACUUGAACUACUGUAACAUUCUCCUCUGUGGUCUUCCAUUAAACAUACUUGCUCACCUCCAAUCAAUCCUCAACUCUGAUGCCUGACUAAUCCACCUCUGCGCUUACUUCUCCUCUACCUCUUCCCUCUGCCAAUUCCUUCACUGGGUAACUCUUACCAAAUUUAAAUUACUUUAAACUAUUCACCACAACAUACGAGGCCUGUCUCCCCCCCCCUCAUACAUCUAUGACCUGAUCUCCCCAUAUCGCCCCUCACAAAAUCUCUGAUUCUCUCAAGACCUCUGCCUAUGCUCUCCCCUUGCCCUCGCCUCACACAACCAUCUCCAAGACUUCUCCUGAGGUUCCCCAUACACUAGAACCCUCUACCCUGACUCAUCCGGCUCUAAAUCACCAUCAAGUCAUUCAAGAGCAACCUGAUGACCCAUCUCUACAAGCAAGCCUAGGACCUUCAAUAACCCUGCGGUCACUGCACUAUGAAUGGCUGCUUUACCACCUGCUCACAGAAGAUCAGUGGUCCCCGUCACCUACUGUUUCCUUCCCCUCUCCUUGUAGAUUGUAAGCCCUUGUGAGCAGUGUCCUCUCUCCCUCUAUAUCGGUCUGCAAUCUAGUCUGCCAUCUCCAUUGUAUGUCAGUGUUAUGUACUUAACCUUUAUCAGAUGUAAAGUGCCCUACAACCAAGGGCGCUAUUUAAAUAAAUAAAUAAUAAUAAUAAUACUUUGGAUUUCCGUUGUGUACUUUGUAUUUGUUUUGAUUAGAAAAUUGCGCUGCAGGAACUUUAACAUCACUGAUUAUAUCACCUACACU